Molecule: non-coding RNA, 915 nt
Organism: Petromyzon marinus (sea lamprey)
Lineage: Eukaryota; Metazoa; Chordata; Hyperoartia; Petromyzontiformes; Petromyzontidae
Source: RefSeq, a predicted model, not a curated record
AACGCCCCCUGGCAAGGAGGAGAUCACAGGACUGAACCCAAGCAGGUGCAAUGGGUUGACUGACAUGUUUACACGCACACGCACCUUUCGUAUCUCCUUCCCACCCGAUAGCUAUCUGAAAUCAACAAGGAACUCAACCCUCCCCCACACCUCCACAUUGAGUUCAUUGUCUCAUCCGUCCUAUAAAUAGUCCACCACCCUCAUCCUCCACUUCCACCCCGCGGAUCGCCCACAGAUUCGUUCUCAGAGGCACUCCUCAUCCUCCUUGUUGCCCUCCUUGGAUAUUGGAGUUGCAUCGAGAUCGCUGGUCAGUUUUGCCUUCGCAUGCCGCGAUGAGGGCUCUCCUCGCUCUCUGCUUCUCCGCGCACCUGAUCCGGCUCGACGGAGUUGAGGGCUACGCGGAGGGAGCUCCCAAAGAUCAAUGCGUGGGGAUGACGCCGAUGCACGGCGCCAACAACUUCAAUAAAUCUCUGUUCUCCGUGAGCACCGCCGACCACACCUUCAACGCCAUCACCGCCGUGCAGGUCACCAUCAAGGGCGAGUUCACGGGUUUCCUGCUCCAGGCGCGCGAAACCGGCACGGCGAACAUCGUGGGGACCUGGGGCACGCCACCCAAUGGCACCAAGUACCUACAGUGCACGAACUCAAGAAACGACGCCAUGACUCACACCUCCAAUGACUCCAAGAGAGACCUGGUCUUUAAUUGGAUUCACCGGGCUCAAAUGCUCCUUCCUCCAUAGAGUUCAUAGCGACCGUCGUGAAGCUGUACAACGAAUGGCAGGGCAAUGUGACGUCACAAACACUCAAACCCUCAGGUUAUGGAAACCCAGCAAAGACCACGGCCAACGCAACAGCAGGAGGAGGAGGCGGGGGAGCUCCAACCACGACCAAUGCAGCAGCAGGAGGAGGAGGCGG